Molecule: ribosomal RNA, 239 nt
Filed under: uncultured bacterium
Lineage: Bacteria
Description: partial 16S ribosomal RNA
Rfam family: Bacterial small subunit ribosomal RNA
Source: RNAcentral
CGAGUGGCGGACGGGUGAGUAAUGUCUGGGAAACUGCCCGAUGGAGGGGGAUAACUACUGGAAACGGUAGCUAAUACCGCAUAACGUCGCAAGACCAAAGAGGGGGACCUUCGGGCCUCUUGCCAUCGGAUGUGCCCAGAUGGGAUUAGCUAGUAGGUGGGGUAAAGGCUCACCUAGGCGACGAUCCCUAGCUGGUCUGAGAGGAUGACCAGCCACACUGAAACUGAGACACGGUCCAG